Molecule: long non-coding RNA, 711 nt
Organism: Rhododendron vialii
Lineage: Eukaryota; Viridiplantae; Streptophyta; Magnoliopsida; Ericales; Ericaceae
Exons: 2
Source: RefSeq, a predicted model, not a curated record
UUUUCCUUUGUUAAUGUACGGCCCGUUGAGAUAGACGGUUCGGAUAUUCGGUGUGACGUCUUCGUGGGAGGAUAUAAGGGUAAUUGUGCGAGAGGUGCGCAUGUGUGUGUGUGGGGUGGGAGCAUGGGAUUACUCCCCAUGCCAAUAAUUUCCCAGGAGACUACUUUCUCCCAUUUCUCUUUUUCUCUCUCUCGGCCAAACUCUCUCCUCCUCUCCUCCGAAACUCUCUCCUCCCUUCUCUCUUCGAUCUCAACACCUUAGAGCAUGAUUCCGGAUAAAGUCCAAGAAUUAAAAUUGCUAUACGGAGCACGGGCUUUCCAAAUAUCCAAGAAAAAUCUUGAUCGGACUGCGUGGGAGCUCGGUUGACUUGGUCAAAGGGUCGGGUUCUGCUCAAAACCCAUGAGGUACGAUUCAAGAAAGUUGACAUGAAGUACAUGUUGUGUAUUUGUGACCAAACCUUUAAAAAGGUAUAUUCAAGAAGGAUUUCAUAGCACAAGAUCUGAAAGAGCAUUUUUUUUUGGAAAGAUAGUCUUUGUAAAUUGUAAUAAUAUUUUCCUAGGAUAUUGGUAUUUUGAUGAUUUGGGGCCUUCGAGUUGGAAUGUAAUAUUUGAAUUUUAUUUGAGAACAGUGAACAAAAAGAUCUUUUGGGGUAUUAUUUGUAUUACAGCGAGGACUUUAUUUAUUAAAAGUGUUUAUUAUUUAUGUUAAAAA